UACGUAGGGGGCAAGCGUUGUCCGGAAUCAUUGGGCGUAAAGUGUGCGCAGGCGGCCGAGCAAGUCGAGUGUGAAAGCCCCGAGCUUAACUUGGGAAUUGCGCUCGAAACUACUUUGCUGGAGUGUGGCAGAGGAAGGUGGAAUUCCAGGUGUAGCGGUGAAAUGCGUAGAGAUCUGGAGGAACACCGAUGGCGAAGGCAGCCUUCUGGGCCAACACUGACGCUCAUGCACGAAAGCGUGGGGAGCAAACAGG
RNAcentral lists this ribosomal RNA (253 nucleotides) under uncultured bacterium. Its description in RNAcentral is "partial 16S ribosomal RNA". It matches the Rfam family "Bacterial small subunit ribosomal RNA", at positions 524 to 776 of the family's 1533-position model. The record is from RNAcentral.